UAAUUAUGAAUUGCGACGCUGCAAAGGCGAAUGGAAUUUGACUUCUUCAUGCCGGUACACAAAAUGCCCAGAGGGUGUUCACAGCUGGUCAUGGUGGUAUGCUUCGAGUCAUGGCGAGAUUGACAUGUUUGGAGUGGAUGAAAUCGGGCAAACAACCGUGAUGGAGGCAAAGGACUAGCGCUUCAGUGAAAUGCUGGAAACCUUCCUCUAGGAAAAGGGUCAUUGGACAUGUGAGCACACCUUAUCUAUUGCGCAGACAAGCACAAAGCUCAGGGCAAUAAAUCUGGUCAGUUCUUUGAAGGACCAGUGGUGCGCAGUGACACACGAGUCAACUGAUGUCGACACGUGCGGUGUGCUGUAGGUGACGUAUGAGUAAAGAAAUAUGUUCCUAUUCAUGAAACAAA
Molecule: long non-coding RNA, 404 nt
Organism: Rhipicephalus microplus (southern cattle tick)
Lineage: Eukaryota; Metazoa; Arthropoda; Arachnida; Ixodida; Ixodidae
Source: RefSeq, a predicted model, not a curated record